GAAAUUCGUACUGUGUCCUGUAGUUGAUAAAACACCAGCUCGUAUGGCAGUCUUGUACAAUGGGCAAACAUAUCUUGGAUCAUUUUCUAGUGGAGCCAUUACAGGCAUAAUGUGCAUCACUGCAUCAACAAGAACCAUAAAAUGGAAAUCCCAUCUGCCGGCAUCUAUAAAAAGCCCAUGAACAAAAACCCCAUCUAAAGGUUUAUGUAGGUCGUUGUAUACUUCAGGUACCUAAUAUUAAUAAGAACAAUUUGAAUCAACUGUAAUAAUUAAUCGACAACGGAAAUUCACUUCUUUUUCAACUUCUCGCAUAAGUUUGCAAUAUGCCAGUUAUAAAUCCUUGAGGAAAGGACAACCCAGAUAUCCAGAAGGAAAUUGGCAUCGUAUCCAUCAACCAUAUCUAUACAUAUAUAAUAUAUACAUUAAUAGUAAUAU
Molecule: long non-coding RNA, 435 nt
Organism: Cephus cinctus (wheat stem sawfly)
Lineage: Eukaryota; Metazoa; Arthropoda; Insecta; Hymenoptera; Cephidae
Exons: 3
Source: RefSeq, a predicted model, not a curated record